CACAUUCUCAUAUUUUAAAUGGCUUGAUGAGGUAUCACCCCUAAGAAGUCUAUCAACGUUGAGUCUGAGAUUUGAGACAUCAAGUUUUUAUGGUGUUGGAAAGUUUAAUCUACUACAAAGUCUCCGAGAAUACGAAGAAAAUAGAGAUUUUCUCGCGACAUUGUUCAAAGAUGCCGAAGAGCAGAGGGAUUACUUGAAAGUAUUGUUACAAGACAUCCAAAUAGAGAGAGAUCAACUAAAAUAAAAGUUGAUUUUGACUUAAUAAAGGGAGAAUGGCCUAAAAAUGAUAUGUGGUGUAAUGCUAAUAUUUGUUGUUUGAAAAGGUGUAACAUGGAUAUAAUGGAAUUGAAUAAAUAAAAAUAUUUCUA
RNAcentral lists this long non-coding RNA (368 nucleotides) under Capsicum annuum. Its description in RNAcentral is "long non-coding RNA (CANN_LNC019568)". The record is from RNAcentral. Lineage: Eukaryota; Viridiplantae; Streptophyta; Magnoliopsida; Solanales; Solanaceae.